Mizuhopecten yessoensis (Yesso scallop) is the source of this 1176-nucleotide long non-coding RNA. RefSeq lists it as uncharacterized. NCBI's taxonomy places the organism in Eukaryota, Metazoa, Mollusca, Bivalvia, Pectinida, Pectinidae. The record is from RefSeq and is a predicted model, not a curated record. The transcript has 2 exons.
UUUACGUUAAUUUUCUUGUUUAUUUAAUUAUUAAAAUUCAUUUUAGCUGUCGGUAUUUCAAAAGAAAAAAUUGAGCAUUGGAGUGAUAACAUGUUGUUGAUUGAGUAAAAGUUGUUGUCGGGUAAUGAAAUUUGCUGGUAUAAGUUUUUUGUGAAUGGUUUAAGAGAAAGGGGCCAUAAGGAAACCAAUUAUUUGUUUGUUAAAUGGUAGAUAUAGAUAAAAUCAUUAUAUAUGUUAACAACAUAACGUGAUUGUUUUAAAAUGAUACACAUUUCGUUUAUUUCUUUUCCAUAUUCAUGGAGCAAAAAUGUUAAUAUUGACACGGUAAGGUGAUUUAGUUUGUGCCGUAUAAACAUAGUAAAAUAACAUAAAUCGCCUAUCGUUGACGAGUAUAUUAUGGAAAGAGAAAAUCGCAAAUAUAGAUAUAGACACAAGGUACAGGCAUCUUUUUACCUUCUUUUUACGAAAUCUCAUUUUUUUCAUGAAUAAAGAAAUACCAUCUUGACAAUCAAGCUAUUUACAGUAACCAUGUCUAUUAGUUAUACAAUUAAUCCAAACCUAGUCACUAUUUUCAUUUGCAGCAAAGAAGAUUUUGAAUAUUCUAAUCCAAGAAAUUUCACGAAUUCCGAAAUUUAUAAUGAGAUCUUUUAUAAAGUGAACGAAAGAAAGCUGCGAAAAUAUUGAUUUUAGAAUAUAAUAUGCAAUUGAAAUAUUUUUACCGUUCAGACAUUAUCCUACAAAGCAAGUUUAUUGGUUGUAUUAUAUAUAAUCUAGUAUGUUAUACUGGUUGUCUGAAUAAGAAAGUCAAUUUUGGUUUAAAAAUAUUUAAGAAAAAUGAUAAAAUUGUAUGUCUCUUAAUCAUAGGAAUUUAUACGACAUUCCUCCUUUGCCUGCCGAGGAAGCUAACUUUAAAAUUGUACCAGGAAAUCAGGAGAAAUAUGUUUUAAAUUCGAAAUGUUGUUGGGCAAUGGUUAAUAUUGAACUGAGGGGUACUUUAAUGAUUUACAUGAAUCGUACAUGUAUGUGUGUACAAGCAGUGUUUAAGUCAUAUAAAGACGAAAUGUGAGAAAGAAAAACAAUUUAAGCAUCACUUUAUCGUCAGAUAUUUAUUAAGAAAAAAAAACAUCCUUUUGUGCAAGCAUAUAACAUGUGAAAUAAAAGUGGAGGAAAAUCGAA